GGUGAGUAACGCGUAGGCACCUGCCCUCAGCAGAGGGAUAGCCAUUGGAAACGAUGAUUAAAACCUCAUAAUGCUGUCAGAGCACAUGCUCAGGCAGCCAAAGAUUUAUCGGCUGGGGAUGGGCCUGCGUCUGAUUAACUGGUUGGUGAGGUAACGGCUCACCAAGGUGACGAUCAGUAGCCGACCUGAGAGGGUGAUCGGCCACAUUGGAACUGAGACACGGUCCAAACUUCUACGGAAGGCAGCAGUAAGGAAUCUUGCACAAUGGGGGAAACCCUGAUGCAGCAACGCCGCGUGAACGAUGAAGGCCUUAGGGUUGUAAAGUUCUGAUCUGGGGGAAGAAGAAAGUGACGGUACCCCAGGAGAAAGCCCCGGCUAAAUACGUGCCAGCAGCCGCGGUAAUACGUAUGGGGCAAGCGUUAUCCGGAAUUAUUGGGCGUAAAGAGUGCGUAGGUGGUUACCUAAGCGCAAGGUUUAAUCUUGAGGCUCAACCUCAUUCUGCCUUGCGAACUGGGCUACUUGAGUGCUGGAGGGGAAAGCGGAAUUCCCAGUGUAGCGGUGAAAUGCGUAGAUAUUGGGAAGAACACCGGUGGCGAAGGCGGCUUUCUGGACAGUAACUGACACUGAGGCACGAAAGCGUGGGGAGCAAACAGGAUUAGAUACCCUGGUAGUCCACGCC
RNAcentral lists this ribosomal RNA (679 nucleotides) under uncultured bacterium. RNAcentral describes it as "bacterial SSU rRNA". It matches the Rfam family "Bacterial small subunit ribosomal RNA", at positions 105 to 801 of the family's 1533-position model. The record is from RNAcentral.